GUGCACGCUGGCGGUAGGCCUAACACAUGCCAGUCGAACGGCAGCACAGUAAGAGCUUGCUCUUACGGGUGGCGAGUGGCGGACGGGUGAGGAAUACAUCGGAAUCUACUUUUUCGUGGGGGGUAACGUAGGGAAACUUACGCUAAUACCGCAUACGACCUACGGGUGAAAGCAGGGGAUCUUCGGACCUUGCGCGAUUGAAUGAGCCGAUGUCGGAUUAGCUAGUUGGCGGGGUAAAGGCCCACCAAGGCGACGAUCCGUAGCUGGUCUGAGAGGAUGAUCAGCCACACUGGAACUGAGACACGGUCCAGACUCCUACGGGAGGCAGCAGUGGGGAAUAUUGGACAAUGGGCGCAAGCCUGAUCCAGCCAUACCGCGUGGGUGAAGAAGGCCUUCGGGUUGUAAAGCCCUUUUGUUGGGAAAGAAAAGCAGCAGGUUAAGACCCCGCUGUUCUGACGGUACCCAAAGAAUAAGCACCGGCUAACUUCGU
RNAcentral lists this ribosomal RNA (490 nucleotides) under uncultured bacterium. RNAcentral describes it as "partial 16S ribosomal RNA". It matches the Rfam family "Bacterial small subunit ribosomal RNA", at positions 29 to 506 of the family's 1533-position model. The record is from RNAcentral.